GGUGAGUAACACGUAGGUAACCUGCCUGUAAGAUUGGGAUAACUAUCGGAAACGAUAGCUAAGACCGGAUAAUUGGUUUCUCCGCAUGGAGAGAUUAUGAAACACGGAGCAAUCUGUGGCUUACAGAUGGGCCUGCGGCGCAUUAGCUAGUUGGUAGGGUAACGGCCUACCAAGGCGACGAUGCGUAGCCGACCUGAGAGGGUGAACGGCCACACUGGGACUGAGACACGGCCCAGACUCCUACGGGAGGCAGCAGUAGGGAAUCUUCCGCAAUGGACGCAAGUCUGACGGAGCAACGCCGCGUGAGUGAUGAAGGUUUUCGGAUCGUAAAGCUCUGUUGCCCUAGACGAACAGCAAGGAGAGUAACUGCUCUUUGUGUGACGGUAUAGGAGAAGAAAGCCCCGGCUAACUACGUGCCAGCAGCCGCGGUAAUACGUAGGGGGCAAGCGUUGUCCGGAAUUAUUGGGCGUAAAGCGCGCGCAGGCGGUUAAUUAAGUCAGGUGUUUAAGCCCGGGGCUCAACCCCGGUUCGCAUCUGAAACUGGUUGACUUGAGUGUAGGAGAGGAAAGUGGAAUUCCACGUGUAGCGGUGAAAUGCGUAGAGAUGUGGAGGAACACCAGUGGCGAAGGCGACUUUCUGGCCUAUA
This 646-nucleotide ribosomal RNA is filed under the name Paenibacillus chondroitinus. Its description in RNAcentral is "bacterial SSU rRNA". It matches the Rfam family "Bacterial small subunit ribosomal RNA", at positions 105 to 738 of the family's 1533-position model. Lineage: Bacteria; Bacillati; Bacillota; Bacilli; Caryophanales; Paenibacillaceae. The record is from RNAcentral.